Molecule: ribosomal RNA, 253 nt
Filed under: uncultured bacterium
Lineage: Bacteria
Description: partial 16S ribosomal RNA
Rfam family: Bacterial small subunit ribosomal RNA
Source: RNAcentral
UACGUAGGGUGCGAGCGUUGUUCGGAUUCAUUGGGCGUAAAGGGUGCGUAGGCGGCGAGGCAAGUCUGAUGUGAAAUCCCGGGGCUCAACCCCGGAACUGCAUUGGAUACUGCCCUGCUAGAGUACUGGAGAGGGAACUGGAAUUUACGGUGUAGCAGUGAAAUGCGUAGAGAUCGUAAGGAAGGCCAGUGGCGAAGGCGAGUUCCUGGACAGUUACUGACGCUGAGGCACGAAGGCCAGGGGAGCAAACGGG